Molecule: ribosomal RNA, 429 nt
Filed under: Bacteroidota bacterium
Lineage: Bacteria; Pseudomonadati; Bacteroidota
Description: Bacteroidetes bacterium partial 16S ribosomal RNA
Rfam family: Bacterial small subunit ribosomal RNA
Source: RNAcentral
UAGGGAAUCUUCCGCAAUGGACGCAAGCCUGACGGAGCAACGCCGCGUGAGUGAAGAAGGAUUUCGGUUCGUAAAACUCUGUUGUUAGAGAAGAACAGCGCAUAGAGUAACUGUUAUGCGUGUGACGGUAUCUAACCAGAAAGCCACGGCUAACUACGUGCCAGCAGCCGCGGUAAUACGUAGGUGGCAAGCGUUGUCCGGAUUUAUUGGGCGUAAAGCGAGCGCAGGCGGUCAAUUAAGUCUGAUGUGAAAGCCCCCGGCUCAACCGGGGAGGGUCAUUGGAAACUGGUUGACUUGAGUGCAGAAGAGGAGAGUGGAAUUCCCUGUGUAGCGGUGAAAUGCGUAGAUAUAUGGAGGAACACCAGUGGCGAAGGCGACUCUCUGGGCUGUAACUGACGCUGAGGCUCGAAAGCGUGGGUAGCAAACAGG